This 253-nucleotide ribosomal RNA is filed under the name uncultured bacterium. RNAcentral describes it as "partial 16S ribosomal RNA". It matches the Rfam family "Bacterial small subunit ribosomal RNA", at positions 524 to 776 of the family's 1533-position model. The record is from RNAcentral.
UACGUAGGGGGCAAGCGUUGUCCGGAUUUAUUGGGCGUAAAGAGCGUGUAGGCGGCCUGAAAGGUCAGCUGUGAAAACUCGAGGCUCAACCUCGAGACGCCGGUUGAAACCAUCUGGCUAGAGUCCGGAAGAGGAGAGUGGAAUUCCUGGUGUAGCGGUGAAAUGCGCAGAUAUCAGGAAGAACACCCGUGGCUAAGGCGGCUCUCUAGUACGGUACUGACGCUGAGACGCGAAAGCGUGGGGAGCGAACAGG